Long non-coding RNA from Acinonyx jubatus (cheetah), 4446 nucleotides. RefSeq lists it as uncharacterized. The transcript has 8 exons. NCBI's taxonomy places the organism in Eukaryota, Metazoa, Chordata, Mammalia, Carnivora, Felidae. The record is from RefSeq and is a predicted model, not a curated record.
CAAUCUUCCGAAGGCUAGGAGGUAGCGUGUGCCAGGCUGGGUAACCGAAAAGGUCGUAAAAGUUACUGGAUAAGGGACCGGGCUCCCGCCCUAGAGGAGAGAAGAGCAGGCAAGCAGGCGGGUGCAGAUGACCUGUUAGAAAAGAAGUACAGACAUAUCGGGUAUUUCCAUAAGUAUCUGAGCAUGCAAAUUAUAUGUAAAUAAGUCCUUUUGCGUUAGCCACCGAGUUACCGUAAUUGCUCUCAGUGGCUUUUCCCCCUCCCCUGUUCCACAUGACUCUCUUAGUAAAUCAGACCGUGGGAUACACGCAGGGGACCCAGCCGGGAGAGGAGAAAGAGAAAGGGCGGGCGGGGAAGAUAGUCACCCUCAACACCCUUUUCCAAUUCAUCUUUAAGGAAGCUUCCAAGAUUACGCCCCUUGUCGCUUCGGAAAUGGCGCGGUCCAACCGCGUCAAUCUUUUCGCCGUUACCGGCGCGACUCGAGGCCGCGAUUCUGCCUCCGAGGUCACCACCUGCCUGGGUCCUUUGGCCUCCAGCCUCCGGACGUUGAUCUCUCCAGGGAGGGGCUGGACGGGCCUAAAUUGGGAGAGCAGCUGGGAGGGCCUAUGAAGUUGAAAGUGGCAGAGAGUUUCUCAGGACUUGAGAGAUGAUGGUCCACCCACCAGCGAGCCCCACUGCCUUGAGUACGUGGGCAGGGGCAGACCGGGCAGAGAUGAGGUGCUGCUGCAGGAGGAAGCGGGCGACUUCAACGAUGGAACUGAAGGAUCGUUUCAGGAUUCGUUCUGCCCAGUCACAGACACCAGUGUCAACCACAGCAAGACCAGACUGCAAAUGGGAGUAACUCGCCCCAGGAACCCACAAAUUCUCUUCACCGUCUGCCUGAGCCAUCGGAUCCAUCCUCCAGCCCCAACCUCUCCACUCAAGGAUACUUGGACUGGCCUCGGCCACCAAGCCUUCGGGCCUUGAUGUCAGGGAAGAUCUCUCUGAUGAUUUUGCCAAAGUUGGCGGUGCUGAGUGGGCGGCAACAGGCAAGACUCUCACAGUACUUCCUGAACUACCACUUCAGCAGUGCUGGACCAAAUCACUCGGCCCGGAAUCCACCUUUUCCAGGUCACAGAGAGAUGAACUAAGAUGCUCAAGGUCAAACUGGCAGCAAGUUGCAAAGCCAAUUAUCUUCUGACGGGGAAGACAACACUGCUUGUCCCACAGAAACCUUUCACUUAGGCAUACCCUCUUCCUCCUCCUCCCCGCUGCACCAACUCCAUCUCUCUACUGCCCUCUUCCCGAAAACACUCACCAGGAUCCCCUCGACUUUGUUCUGCACGGCCUUGCUGUGGAGGAGAGGAGAAAGCUGGAGGUCACACACAAGAUUUUCCCUGGUGUCUUACUGUUAGGGAGAGGAAGAGGGCUGAGAGGCCUGACAGGUGCUCAGCAACGGCUACCAUGAUGGAGAAUCUCCCAGUGCUCACAGGCACUUGCUCAGGGAGAGGCAGUUCAUCUACAGAGGAAGUGAAGUGCUACGGUUCUGGAGCAAGACUUGGAGGUGGUGAGGAGUACUUACGAAAUGGUACCUCGGAGCCUCUGAAGAAGGGUGGUGGGUUCUCCCGCCUCAGCACUACCUGAGGGGGGCCGUCCCCCAGUCUUGGGGCUCUUAGCGUCGGGUUCAUCUUCUGCCAUCCCGGCAUGAGGGCUAGAGUUGAGAGGAGACACGACAGGAAGAUUCAACCUCCCUUCCCCUGGAGCCACCCCGCCGCUCCCCAGGCGCUCCUCGUCUCCCUACCCAGAAACACAGAGAAACAAAGCCUCUGAAUGUCCUCAGUGGUCUUUUUUUCUCACCACUUGCCUUCUCCCCAAAUUAGAAAUGAUCCCAUUACUUCUCCAGGCCCAUAUAUACCCAAAGAGAUCUCUGCCACCUCCAUUCUAUCUGCCCCCCCCCCCCCCCCCCCCGCUUCCUGCAGUCUCCUGAGUGUGGAAAACUGUACAGGAAGAGAUAGGCGGGUUGGGAAUCCACGUUAGAAAUGUCCAUUUCUGCCUCUGGCCCCGUCCCGCCCUCACCCCCUUAAAAAACCAAAAACAAGAACCACCACAAAACAAAGUUCUCCGAUUCUCCUCACGCCUGAAUUUUCCUGGGAGGUCAGAAAGGAUACGAACAUACUCUGCCCUUGCAGGCUUGGAAAAAACUGGGCCCAAGUUCUCAUUACUUAAUCUCGCCACGGCUUCCCCCGCGGCUCCCCCUCCCCACGUCGCCGGUCCCUACGUCAUCUCCCUCAACCUCCCAUCCUGAGGCGCACCCCCACCUCCCUCCCUUCCCCCUGCAUUCAAUCCCGCGUUGCUGCAAGGUGGGAGGCUUCAGGGGGGCGAACUCCUGGGCUGGGCGUAGGAAACCCGGUUGGGGGAACGGGGUCCCGGAUUCGGGGCACGUGCACAUGGGCGAAGGAGCUGUUGAAAAUACGGCCACAAUCUUUUUCUGCUCUCCUCCCAACUCAUACUGUCCCCUCCCUACCUUUGAACAGUCGCCUUCCAACACAAGCAACAAUAAAGGUAAGGGAGAAAGAGAAACUACCUCGUAGCCACCUUCACUCCAGCCCAGCCCCACGGUCCUGGCCCAGCGGGCUCGUGCGUUGCUUUAUUUUCUUUUUUCUGAGUGGCUGGAGCAGUCCCGAUCUGCCUAGAGACUCGCGCGGCCUGUUCUCUCAUUGGUCGUUGCGGCCACCCGGAGACAGAAGGCGCCGGGCUCGCACCGGCGGCAGCUAAAGUCUGCCUGGUAACAGAUUCUGAUUGGUCAAUAGGGGAGGGAAAAUCCAAAGUUGGUCUUAUUUGAGUGAAGAGGGGGAAGUCCGGGUUAGGUUUCGGUUAAAACUGGGGUCGGUUGGGACUGCCGGUCCCGAGAGGUUCUUCUCUUAAAGGGACCGCAGGACGAAAGGCCGGGCGCUGGAGCUUUCUUUUCCUUUGCCCUCGUCUUCAGGGUUUCAGUUUUGCCUUCGGUUGUCAGAGCAACUGGAAGAAAAGAAUCAGUGGCUGAUAAAAUAACUGGAAAAUUAUGGGUAGUAGUGAUGGAGGUUCGCUGAAAGUUCACACCACCUCCUUUUGAUGAAAAAUAAAUUGAACACCCCACCCUCCCACCCCCGCCCUCAACACAGCCUACAGGCAUUCACAGCAAAUCUGCAAACACGGGCUCACGUUGCUCUCUGAUGGAGGCCUCAAAAUCUCAGCAGCUGUACCACAUUAAGUUAAAAUGCCAAGCGUUUCUUGGUUUCCCGUGGGUAUUUUAUUUCCUUCCGAAGAGUUGCUAAUGUAUUUGCAUACCUGUAGUUCUGCACUCGGUGAACACUGGAAUUUUGACUGACACCCCCAGGGGGUGCUGGAUGCCCACAUGAACUCUUGAAGAGAACAUUGUGCUGAAUAGGCCAUGGGUUGUUAACCUUUCGGUUACGGCUUUGUUUAGAUCGCGAGUCAAAUGAAAGCAGUGGACCCUCUGCUAUGAAAAAUGCACGUGAGGACUAAGUUUUGCAUCUAAUUUCAAAGGUGCCCAUGAAGGUCAAAUAAGCCAAUGUAUUCAGAAGUACUUUAAAGGAGAAGUGUUGUAUAAAUAUGGGAAGGACUGUGCCAGAAGCUGGGGACAGAAAUCCCAGGCAGUGGAACCUGCUGACUCGGUGUCUACAGAAGCCACUUUCAUCUUGGAUGAAAGCUAUGGGGUGAAGUUUUUAUUGGAUAGUGAAAGGGACGAAGUUUGGUCUCGAGACUGCCGGCGGAAAGAUCCAUGGUGUUUCCAAACCGGAGUGAAAGGAAGAACAAAGCUGGGCUGCGGUAUGACAGAUGAUGGGCAUCUGUCCUCCUGGUUCCCGUGGGUAAGGGAGCACCCAGAGGAAGAUGCUCUUUGGCUGCCCUUACCCCCUUCUCCUCAAUAUCACUCAACUCCCCUGACUCUUUCCUACAUCUGGGUCCUCACCAUCACGCCAUCAGCCAGGCAUGUGCCGCAGUCAGCCCUGUGGGUGCAGCUGUCCCCCAGGGGGUGGCCCAGGGGGCUGCUUCUUCGCCUGGGCUGGCCUCCCCAUCUGCUGGCUGUCUCUCCUCACCCUGCCUCCAGCCUGUGCCUCUGGCCUCCUCCUCCUCCUCCUCGGACCCCAUCUCAUACCUCCUCUACUUUCCUGCUUUGGGGCUUGAAGUAGCCUUACAACCAAGAUCUGAAAGAGAAAGAAAGCCCAUCCUCACCCCCUUGUCAAAAGUUCUGGGGCACCUGGGGGGCUCAGUCGGUUAACCGUCUGACUUCGACUCAGGUCACGAUCUUGUGGUUCGUGGGAUUGAGCCCCGCGUCGGGCCCUCUGCUCUCAGUGCUGAGCCCACCUCAGAUCCUCUGUCUCCCUCUCUCUCUCUGCCCCUCCCCCUUUUGCGUAUGUGCUCUUAAAGUAAAUAAACAUUUAAAAAAAAAGGUUCUUGAGUCAUCACC